RNAcentral lists this ribosomal RNA (1672 nucleotides) under human gut metagenome. Its description in RNAcentral is "eukaryotic LSU rRNA". It matches the Rfam family "Eukaryotic large subunit ribosomal RNA", at positions 626 to 2322 of the family's 3401-position model. The record is from RNAcentral.
ACCCACAUCACACACUCUUCGUCCCGUCUUGAAACACGGACCAAGGAGUCUAUCCUUUAUGCAAGUAGUAUGGUGUUAAACCAAUAUGCAUAAUGAAAGUAAGAGGUGUGAAACUUUUGAAGUGUCAACAUCUGCCGAUCAUAAUUCUUUGAUGAAAGAUUCGAGUAUGAGCAUAUAGGGUGGGACCCGAAAGAUGGUGAACUAUGCCUGAAUAGGACGAAGCCAGGGGAAACUCUGGUGGAGGUUCGAUUGGAUUCUAACGUGCAAAUUGAUCUUUAAAUUUGGGUAUAGGGGCGAAAGACUAAUCGAACCAUCUAGUAGCUGGUUCAUUCCGAAAUUUCCCUCAGGAUAGCUGCAACUUUUGAAAUAGUUUUAUGAGGUAAAGCGAAUGAUUAGAGGUUUCUGGGAUGGAAUAUCCUGGACCUAUUCUCAAACUUUCAAUGGGUAAGAAAUCGGGGAUGUUUAAUUAAUCUCUGAGUUUGAAUAUGAGUUGCAAGUGGGCCAUUCCGGGUAAGCUGGACUGGCAAUGCGGGAUCAACCGAACGCUAUGUUACGGUGCCUUAUUAUUCGCUCAGUUCGAUGUAAAAGGUGUUAGUUCAUCUAGACAGCAGGACGGUGGCCAUGGAAGUCGGAAUCCGCUAAGGAGUGUGUAACAACUCACCUGCCGAAUGAAGUAGCCCUGAAAAUGGAUGGCGCUAAAGCGAAUAACCUAUACAUAGCCAACACAAUUAGGAUUGUAUGGUGUUGAGUAGGAAUGCGUGAUGAAUGUUGUGAAGUAUAUCGUGUGAACGAAUAUGGAACAUUCAUUAGUGCAGAUCUUGGUGGAAGUAGCAAAUAUUCAAAUGAGAUCUUUGAAGACUGAAGUGGAGAAAGGUUCCAUAGGAAUAGUGAUUAUCUAUGGGUUAGUCGAUCCUAAGAGAUAAGUGAAAUCUGUUGAAAGUAUAACAUUUGGUUAUAAGUUAUCGAAAGGGAAUCAGGUUAAUAUUCCUGAACCAAAUAGUAUAAGAAACGGUAACGUAUAUUCCUCUUGAGACAUUUCUAUUAUUCCCAGGAAGAGUUUUCUUUUCUUGUUAACAAUAUUUGAGUGCUUGGAAUUAAUUCAGUUAGCGAUAAGCAUUGAAUAUUGGUAAAGUAGUAUACUAUUGUAUAUUAUCUGGUGCAAUGAUAGGGAUCCUUGAAAAUGAAGAGGUAAAAUCUUAGAAUAUUUGGUCGUACUAAUAACCGCAUCAGGUCUCCAAGGUGAAUAGCCUCUAGUUAAUAGAAUAAUGUAGAUAAGGGAAGUCGGCAAAUUAGAUCCGUAACUUCGGGAAAAGGAUUGGCUCUGAGGGCUAAGUGGAUAUGAGUGUUAGGUAUGUGUUGGUGUAGUGUUUGUGUUGUUUUUGAUGGCUUCGGUUGUUGAGAAUGACGCUUGCAUAGCAUCUACCCAUCCUCUCACUCUCCCACUAUGAAUAGCUAACUCAGAACUGGUACGGACAAGGGGAAUCCGACUGUUUAAUUAAAACAAAGCAUUGUGAUAGUGUGAAAGAUAUAUUGACACAAUGUGAAUUCUGCCCAGUGCUCUGAAUGUCAAAGUGGCGUAAUUCAACCAAGCGCGGGUAAACGGCGGGAGUAACUAUGACUCUCUUAAGGUAGCCAAAUGCCUCGUCAUCUAAUUAGUGACGCGCAUGAAUGG